Molecule: transfer RNA, 65 nt
Filed under: Parafronurus sp. XL-2019
Lineage: Eukaryota; Metazoa; Arthropoda; Insecta; Ephemeroptera; Heptageniidae
Description: tRNA-Thr
Rfam family: tRNA
About the family: Transfer RNA (tRNA) molecules are approximately 80 nucleotides in length. Their secondary structure includes four short double-helical elements and three loops (D, anti-codon, and T loops).
Source: RNAcentral
GUUUUAAUAGUUUAAAAUAAAACACUGGUCUUGUAAACCAGGAAUGAGAUUACUCUCUUAAAACU